CGGUAGGUUAUUAUUUGAUGGGGGCGUAGCUCAUAUGGUAGAGCGCUCGCUUCGCAUGCGAGGGGCAUGGGGUUCAUUUUGCUCGAUUCCCCGCACCUCCAU
Molecule: transfer RNA, 102 nt
Filed under: Rosa chinensis
Lineage: Eukaryota; Viridiplantae; Streptophyta; Magnoliopsida; Rosales; Rosaceae
Description: tRNA RchiOBHm_Chr1g0380851
Rfam family: tRNA (bases 20-101)
About the family: Transfer RNA (tRNA) molecules are approximately 80 nucleotides in length.
Source: RNAcentral